UACGUAGGGGGCUAGCGUUGUCCGGAAUCAUUGGGCGUAAAGAGCGUGUAGGCGGCCCGGUAAGUCCGCUGUGAAAGUCGGGGGCUCAACCCUCGGAUGCCGGUGGAUACUGUCGGGCUCGAGUACGGAAGAGGCGAGUGGAAUUCCUGGUGUAGCGGUGAAAUGCGCAGAUAUCAGGAGGAACACCUAUUGCGAAGGCAGCUCGCUGGGACGUUACUGACGCUGAGACGCGAAAGCGUGGGUGGCAAACAGG
This 253-nucleotide ribosomal RNA is filed under the name uncultured bacterium. RNAcentral describes it as "partial 16S ribosomal RNA". It matches the Rfam family "Bacterial small subunit ribosomal RNA", at positions 524 to 776 of the family's 1533-position model. The record is from RNAcentral.